Molecule: ribosomal RNA, 253 nt
Filed under: uncultured bacterium
Lineage: Bacteria
Description: partial 16S ribosomal RNA
Rfam family: Bacterial small subunit ribosomal RNA
Source: RNAcentral
UACGUAGGGUGCGAGCGUUGUCCGGAAUUACUGGGCGUAAAGAGCUCGUAGGUGGUUUGUCGCGUUGUUCGUGAAAACUCACAGCUUAACUGUGGGCGUGCGGGCGAUACGGGCAGACUGGAGUACUGCAGGGGAGACUGGAAUUCCGGGUGUAGCGGUGGAAUGCGUAGAGAUCCGGAAGAACACCGGUGGCGAAGGCGGGUCUCUGGGCAGUAACUGACGCUGAGGAGCGAAAGCGUGGGGAGCGAACAGG